CAGUUCAAUUAAUGGGUGUAAGUUAUGGUGCGAACGCAGUAGAGAUUGUUUUGAGAGUUCUGUUCGGUUUAAAUGCUUGGUUGCAUGAACCGAAGAUACGGUUCCCAGAACCGAGAGAGCGGUCGCAUGAACCAAACAAUACGGCCGAUAUUGAACACCGAACAUUCGGUUCAUACGACCGAACUUUUUUUCUCAGUGCACAAGUAAUAUAAGAAGAGGGGAAAAAAAGAUAAUCAAGAAGUAAUACUGUACACCCAGUUAGAAGGCAAACGUGGCCGGCAACAGUCCUACCUCUCCUAAAAGGAUAAAACUAGCCCAAAAUGAAGAUGAACACCCCCAGUGUUGCAAGACCCAAAUGUUGCACUCAGACACUGAUAAGUCCGAUGAUUCAACUAGUCAUGUGUCAGCCACAGCAACUCAUCAAGAGGCGAAAUUAGCUGCCCUUUUGGCGGAGGAUUUAACAGACAUUGAGUCUGAAGCUGAAACAACUUUUCACAGCAUUGAAAAUUCACAAGAGAAAGAUGAUCCAUCUGGAAGCUCAUGUAAAGAUAAGGAUGCAGAUAGUCACAAGGAUUCAUGUGAAGAGAAGGAGUUGCAGGAAGGCGAGCCAAGCCUAAAGAAAAUCAAAAUACAGCGGGUAGCAAACCCAACGAUUGAAGAUAUUUACAGUUUACUUUAUGAAAAUACCAAAAUGGUAUCGAAACAUUUGAAAGGCCAUGAUACUCAGCAGGCGACCGUCCAAAGCAGCGGCCAACGCAACAGAGUCAAUAUUACUCUCACCGGGAAGGAAGAUAUUGAAAGAAUGGAAAAACAAUUAAGAGAAUCUGCAGAAUAUGCUGAAAAAGUGAAAAUGGAGUUUUUACUACUUGGUGGAAUCGACGGAAGGGAUUUGCUCAUUAGAAUCCUUAAAAAAUUGCUCCCUCCCGCUGUUUGUAACCAAAUGACCCUCAAAGGUGCCAUGAGAAAGCAGGUGCGCAAAUUCAAAUUCAUGGACUCGAAGAUUCAAACUGUAAUAUUCGGUCAGUGUUAUUUACCUAUUUUCACAGUGGGCUUGAACGAAUUCCAAAUGGAGGAAUGAGAAACCUCAUUUCUGGAAACGAGCAAUUACAGGUGAAACACCUUACAAAAACAUCUUUGGUUAAACUAAAAUUAUCCAUUCGUCCAGUUUUUUUCGGUUGUUUACUUCCCUCCCCGAAAAUGUGUGUUUAAUGUAAAUCAUUACAAUUUGCCUUAAGAAAGUAAUCAAGAAAAGUAUGAACAACAAGGGUCACCCCUUUCCGUACCAACAUAGAGUUGAAAUUUUUACAUUUUGAUCCAUGGCAAUAAAAAUUAUGUGGCUGAAAUUUCCAAAACCCCACAACAUUUUCUCUUCCCGCUGCAGCAUUGCCAAAUUGAGAUUCUUAAAAUUAAAUUACUGAAGAAUUCAUGUAUCACAAAAAUGACCAUUUAUGAAAAUAAAAAUUAUUAGGGCCAGAGGGAGCGCCUCCUAUAGCUCUAUGGACUUGUCAGGAGACACUUGACUUUUGGACGGGUCAGUCCGUCGUAAUUCAGUUAAAAUGAAAAGACAGAUUUGUUUUAUAAUAAAUAUGUUUUAUCUUUACUCCAGUUAAUUUUUAGGUAGUAUACAUUAUGUUAAAUCUUAGUUAAUAGCUAGUAUAAUUUAAGCUAAACUAAAAUUAAGCGUUUUAAAGACUUAUGUACGUCUAAAUGCAUCCUCUGUACAAUUGGUAUUCAUUUUUUUGUGCAAAUAAAAAAAAAAAAAAAAAAAAAAAAAAAAAAAAAAAAAAAAAAAAAAUACCAUGCUUAGAGCAUGAGGAAACAGAGGAUCUAUAGAAAUACCUUGUUUACAACCAUACUCAUCCAUCUUAUCACAAAUAAUUACUCAAUUGUGUAAACUACAUUUCUUCUCUUUACAGAAUAUUGAUACAUCUGCAGAUUAAGGAACCUCUAGGCUAAGUAACGGAAACUCCAAGUUGCAGAGAGGAGCCUGAAGAAAAAUUAGAAGUUCAACAGAGUCAUUCAAAAGGAGAAAGCUUGAGGUUGAAUCAGCCACCCAGCCUAUGCUUAUAGUCACCGUUGACCCUCUUCUCUUAAGUCGCAUAGUAACUGGUUUAAUCCCACCCUGCUUAAAAGAAUAUGAUUUAGAUCUGGCAACAGAGAAAGAAAAGGAGGAGCUAAAAGAUGGUCCGGAAAAAUUGUUACAAUCAACAGUUGAAGGGACAUGGGUCCUAACCACUCUCCUUUCCCGCCGAUGGUAUACCUGGAGGGAAUUCCGGCGCGACCUUGACUCAAGGAGUCACCUAAUCUUUUCUUUUUCUUUAUGUCUCUUUUUUGAUAUGUAUUUCUUUUUUAUAUCAUUUAUUAUUCUUACUUAUAUUUGUUGUUUUCUUUACUCUGCAAUUAAUUGCAGUCCUUGUAUUUAUAUUCUUGUAAUCAUUGAUAAUAAAGGUCGUAAAAAAAAAAAAAAAACUGCUCUCCUUAAAGAACAAAGAAGUGAAAAGGCCCGCGAAAGUCUCUGUCGCAUUUUGCUAAGCUACGGUGUCAAUAAUUCCGUAGUAAAAGACCAGAUAAUUACCAACAAGUUCAAAUAUUUGGCUCUUGCAGUCAAGGCGUUAUUUCCCGCUGAAAGUCAGUUUACGAAUACUAUGUGCCGCAGGUAGGAACGAAAGGCCCUAAAGGAAAACUCUACUGGAAGUACACAUCUCAGCGGUCCAAGUUCAAAAGCCCAGGGCUUGCUGGAAAAAGAACCCGCACCCACUCUGCUGCAGAAAACAGUAAUCUGAUACGCACUCCGGAUUGGAGUAAAGGUGGUAGUGAGUGUUUAUUUAUGUUUCUAUAAUUAACCUUUUUUUAGUGCGGCUCCCUUUAUAAAACUAAGGAAAAAUGAUCCUAAAUAUUUUGAUGUAUUUUGUCCAUGUAAAGGGGUAUGGAAGGAAAAAGUAUAAAAGCAUUUUAUAUCAGAUCUCACGGGAUUUUUAAAAAAUCCAUUAUAAAAAUUAGAAAUUUCAACUCAAAAAGUAAAAAUACCUCCAUACUACACAUUAUCCCAAUGAUUUUAAUUUCAAUUGAUCCUGGUGUGAUAAUUAUUUAAAUCUAAAUAGUUUAUGAAAACAUUCAUAUGUGGAAUUAAAGAUAACUUUAGAUAAGUUUUUAGAUUAUAUAGCGGUGAGCAAUAAAUCGGUCGCGACCCUGUGCGGUUUCAUAGGUAGUCAAUUAAUUUUUGUUCAGUCUACGUGUGUUUUAUUUUUUAUUUUUCCGGAUUUUAAUAUUUUAACGUGUCUCGCAAUUUUGAACGCGCACAAUGUUUUAGUGCUAGUCAAAUAAAUGUUUGUGGCCUGAUGAAGGAAAUAAUUUUUCCGAAAUGUACAUCGCUUAGGACACGGCGAAUUGCUCAAAAAAAAACCGGAACGAAAAGAUAACUUACAGGUAAUAAUACCCAAACCUGGUAAAAUGAAAAACCCAUAUAAUUCAAUAAAAAGGAUUCACUUGAUCUGGUGAGUUGAAUCAAAAUUUAUGGUGCCAUUUUUUGUAAGUAGUAGUCAAUUCACUCAGCCAAAAUAUUGUUUUGUACAGACUUCAAUUUUUUUAUUGUGUCGUAAUGCUCCUUGUUCUUUUUGAGACUUUUCAAUUUUUUGUGAUGCCUCUUACAGGACACCGUCAGACAAAAUGGCAACUUAAUGGCAGUAACAAGUUGAAAAGCGCUGACUCUGCCGGUAAGUAAUCGCACCUAACACAUUGUGGUCGGCGCGAAGGAAACUGCAUAAAUACUUCACUUGUUGCGCGUACACCACAGUGCGCUCUUGACACAUAUUAGCGCCUAAAAGACUGCGGGAAUACUUCAUGCAUUACACUUUCCACACAAAAUUCUUUAUUUCUGAUCUACCGCUUAACGCGGUGUGCACCACUGCACCAUUUCCGACCAGUUCACAACGCGAGCCUGCAAUCUAUAAUUGAAUUACAGAAUGUAACGUCCGUUUCUUUGUUUGGACUAACUCUAAAUAUAAUUUCAAACACCUGAUAUCUAAUGAAUUUCUUCCCUAACCAACACAAUUUCCAAAAAAAUCGAUUGUAAAAACCGCUCGCACCGACCUACUUCGUCCACAAAAUCCAAGGUACCCGAAAUGCGACCACCUCCUUCUUUUCCUCUAUGCGCCUCUCGUGCUGAGGCCAAUUCUGCCGUGUUAAACAAGAACGCCGUAAAUUCAUAAAGAUUUUUCUUCGUUUUUUGGAACUUAACACUUGAUAAAAUGAAAACUGUUUUACCCAUGCACCUCAAUUUUUUAGGUUAAGUUCUUGAGAGUAUUAGCUGAAGAAUCCUGUGAGAACAUUGUGCCAAGGUACACAAGUUUUUCUCUGCCGACGUAUGCCUUAAGGCGGAUUCCGGCAUCGCGAACCUACAACCGAGUUGAAUUAAGUAGUUAUUGUACUUAUUAUUUUCACCUCAACCGAGUCAAUCUUUGUAAUUUAUAGUCCUCAUAAUUAUUUUAUUCAGAUAAAUUUUAUUUCUGCUGUCUGCUUUACAUCUUUGCUUAAAAUGUAGUUGUUUGGUAGUUUGUGCAUGUAUUUUAUUUAUUUUUGUUAGUUUCAUGCUUGUUUAUAGUUCUGCCCUGAAGAUGUCUGAGUGUAGACGAAAAGCUUCGGCGAUGUAUUAACUGAAUAAACUGAACACAGCUAAACGGCUAUUCUCCUCCUUUACCUACUCAUAAUUAUUGUCUCUUUAAAUCUUAUUUCACCACUUUCAUUGUAAGUGUAAAUGUAUUAUGCUCUGUAUCUUGCGAUAAUAAACAAAAAAAAAACACAAAAAAAAACAAGUUUUUUUGCUAGGAUACAUUGUUUCCAUAAAAUGUAAAAUGGCGUUUACGGCGUUUUUGCAUUGCACGGCAGAAUUGUAGACCACGCUCUAUUCCACCGAUUUCGUUAAGCCUCUGCACACGAAUUUUUCAUCCUAUCAUUUAUCUCCCACGUUAAAUUAAUACCGAACAAAAGGUCGUUGGCCAGAACACGCCGAAGAUUACCAGCGGGGCCUCGGUCGCAUU
Molecule: long non-coding RNA, 5036 nt
Filed under: Bemisia tabaci
Lineage: Eukaryota; Metazoa; Arthropoda; Insecta; Hemiptera; Aleyrodidae
Description: lncRNA ENSSSA1UGG011288
Source: RNAcentral